GGGCUUCAGCAUGUUGGCCAGGCUGGUCUCAAACUCCUGACCUCAGGUGAUCUGCCCACUUCAGCAGUGCUGGGAGGUCAGGGUACUGAGAUCACAGGCACCAGCCACUGUUCCCAGCCC
This 120-nucleotide microRNA precursor is filed under the name Callithrix jacchus (white-tufted-ear marmoset). RNAcentral describes it as "microRNA cja-mir-9958 precursor". Lineage: Eukaryota; Metazoa; Chordata; Mammalia; Primates; Cebidae. The record is from miRBase by way of RNAcentral.